GUGGGGUUGUGGCUCGGCGGUAGAGUGCUCGCCUAGCACAUGCGAGGCCCUGUGUUCAAUCCUCAGCACCACA
This 73-nucleotide transfer RNA is filed under the name Marmota monax (woodchuck). Its description in RNAcentral is "tRNA.Ala". The record is from RNAcentral. Lineage: Eukaryota; Metazoa; Chordata; Mammalia; Rodentia; Sciuridae.